This 1598-nucleotide long non-coding RNA is filed under the name Homo sapiens (human). RNAcentral's name for it is "epigenetically induced MYC interacting lncRNA 1". The record is from RNAcentral. Lineage: Eukaryota; Metazoa; Chordata; Mammalia; Primates; Hominidae.
AUUGCAAACACGAAGCUCUUCCAGAAACGCCCUCACAGACACCCCGGAAGUCACGUACCCACUCUGUAGGUGCCCCGGGGCACAGGCAAGCGGACGAGCCAGUUAUCCCUCAGAGCUCCUGCUGCCUCGCCCGCUUUCUCUCGGAAACGUGAAGUGUGGCCUCAGCUGAAAGUGAGGUGGGCCUCAUUCAAUCAGUUGAAUUCUUCAAGAGAGAAAAACUGAAGUCCCUUAGAAGGAAAGAGUUCUGCCUUCAGACUGUCUUUGAACUUAAGACUGUAGCGUCGACUCCUGCCGGAAUUUCCAGCCUGCUGGCCAGCUCUGCAGAUUCACACUUGCCAGCCUCCACAAUCGCAGCUGAGGCGGAGGAACCCUAAGGGCUCAUUGAGAUCAUGGAUUUGCCCUUCUAUGCAUUGAUGGAGCACCUGCUGCCCACAGCGUCUGUAUUUGGUGCUGGGAUGCUGAGCCUCCUUCUUUAUGAAUUUUUAAAAGGACACUGAGAUCUUCAAACAGAGGCUGCCACUCUAAGCAAACAGAUCCCGAGCCCUGGACUCUGAAGCUUGGGCCCAGUUCUCCUUUUCUCCGGGUUUCAGAUCCCACUGUGAAGUGAGGGGGCCCUUCUGAUUCAGGACCCGGGGAAGCCAGGGGCAUGAGCAUCGGUGCCUCUUCUCUAUUUCAAGGACCCUUCUGGGUGUAAAGUUCUCUGAGAUGCCUUACAUGGAUUCCCACCACUGCAAGAUAACCAUCGUAUGUAAAGUGUUAUGACCAGCAGAGCGUAAUUGAAGUGCAUUCCAGAGGGAAAGACAGCGGCUCAGCUUUUUAUGCUCUCUUCAUGCCCCCUCAUGGAAGCUUCGCACACACUCUUGGUUCUGUCGCAUGGUUCCCUUUUGACAUCGGUGGCAUCAGAGGUCCACGGAGGAGCCACAGGACUGCCUGUCGGUCUAGCAUUACCUUGUGCGGCUUACCUUGUCUGUUUUGGCUCCCAAGGCUCCAGAGGGCAGGGCCCAGGGCUCAACCCUCACAUGUCUCAAGAGCUCAGUACACGGCGGAGAUUCCCGGGAAAUGCUGCAGUGAACUGGAUUGUGAGGCAAUGCACAGAACACAGCACUGCGUGGCACCUAGCAGUUAUGACGUUUAUCAUCCCGGGUUUCUACCAGUGCCAGGAGAGUCCUGGGAAAUGAGAGUCCACUGAGAGGUCAUGGGAUGGAAGGAACUCACAGACUUGGGGCACAGAUGGCUUCUCUGUGCCUGUGUCACCCCCGCCUGCAGAUCCCAUGUCCAUCCUGGUGCCCGAGAGUCCCCAUCCUGCAUGCAUGGCUUUGAACCUGCUCUGGGCUAGGAAUGUCAGGCAGUGCGUCUGAGCUUCAGCCUCUCCAUCCAUAAAACAGGAAUAACAUUACUGCCUAUCAGGAUUUCAUGAGGAUUAAAUAAGGCUGAAUGAGAAAGAGGCAUAUAAACUUGAUUUUUACAUGCCUUGGAAUAUAAAUGCUUCUUAAAAAUUUCAGUGAUGCCUUUUACAAUUCUGAAAAGUUAGUAUAAAAAGUUUGCCUGCCCUGCCUUUCUCCUGAGACUGCAUGUGAAAAUCAAAUACAACAACGAAA